AUUGAACGCUGGCGGCAGGCUUAACACAUGCAAGUCGAGCGGGGUGAUGGUGCUUGCACUAUCACUUAGCGGCGGACGGGUGAGUAAUGCUUAGGAAUCUGCCUAUUAGUGGGGGACAACAUCUCGAAAGGGAUGCUAAUACCGCAUACGUCCUACGGGAGAAAGCAGGGGAUCACUUGUGACCUUGCGCUAAUAGAUGAGCCUAAGUCGGAUUAGCUAGUUGGGGGGGUAAAGGCCUACCAAGGCGACGAUAUGUAGCGGGUCUGAGAGGAUGAUCCACCACACUGGGACUGAGACACGGCCCAGACUCCUACGGGAGGCAGCAGUGGGGAAUAUUGGACAAUGGGGGGAACCCUGAUCCAGCCAUGCCGCGUGUGUGAAGAAGGCCUUAUGGUUGUAAAGCACUUUAAGCGAGGAGGAGGCUCUUUUGGUUAAUACCCAAGAUGAGUGGACGUUACUCGCAGAAUAAGCACCGGCUAACUCUGUGCCAGCCGCCGCAGUAA
This 503-nucleotide ribosomal RNA is filed under the name uncultured bacterium. RNAcentral's name for it is "partial 16S ribosomal RNA". It matches the Rfam family "Bacterial small subunit ribosomal RNA", at positions 30 to 523 of the family's 1533-position model. The record is from RNAcentral.